UCGUAUAAGUGUGCUAAAAAAGCAUAUGUACACACUCGCACUAAAUGACAGAUGUCAAAAUCAAAUGAUGGAAGGAAAAUUGGUCAAUUUUACCAACAUAUUUGACAUUGGCUCUUUCCCUCUGCUCAUACAUCCAGCCAUUACACGAUCCAAUUUUCCUGCCAUCUAUGAGGGGAUCUCUAUCUUGUUUCUCCCUUCUUGACUUUUGAUAAUCAAGGGGAGGCACCACUGUCAAAGGAAAAACGUUUAUGAUUUGAAGCUCAUUGGAUUUGAACUGUAACAUUCCCCCACUAUUUUGGUCUCCAGCAAGGUGCAAAGAAAAUACAUAAGUGCAGAGAAAACUGAAAAAUCAAGGUAGGAAUAAAAGUGAAGAAAAUAAAAUAGUUUAUAUUUCAGUUGUUUGGCCUUUGGCACCUGUCGCUCGUAGUCUACUUUUUU
RNAcentral lists this long non-coding RNA (438 nucleotides) under Citrus maxima (pomelo). RNAcentral's name for it is "long non-coding RNA (CMAX_LNC002194)". The record is from RNAcentral. Lineage: Eukaryota; Viridiplantae; Streptophyta; Magnoliopsida; Sapindales; Rutaceae.